GUGGGGAAUAUUGGACAAUGGGCGAAAGCCUGAUCCAGCCAUGCCGCGUGUGUGAAGAAGGUCUUCGGAUUGUAAAGCACUUUAAGUUGGGAGGAAGGGCAGUAAGUUAAUACCUUGCUGUUUUGACGUUACCGACAGAAUAAGCACCGGCUAACUUCGUGCCAGCAGCCGCGGUAAUACGAAGGGUGCAAGCGUUAAUCGGAAUUACUGGGCGUAAAGCGCGCGUAGGUGGUUCGUUAAGUUGGAUGUGAAAGCCCGGGCUCAACCUGGGAACUGCAUCCAAAACUGGCGAGCUAGAGUACGGUAGAGGGUGGUGGAAUUUCCUGUGUAGCGGUGAAAUGCGUAGAUAUAGGAAGGAACACCAGUGGCGAAGGCGACCACCUGGACUGAUACUGACACUGAGGUGCGAAAGCGUGGGGAGCAAACAGGAUUAGAUACCCCAGUAGUCC
RNAcentral lists this ribosomal RNA (449 nucleotides) under uncultured bacterium. RNAcentral describes it as "partial 16S ribosomal RNA". It matches the Rfam family "Bacterial small subunit ribosomal RNA", at positions 354 to 796 of the family's 1533-position model. The record is from RNAcentral.